AAAAAAAUUUUUUUCUUAUAAUGUCACUUUAUUUGGAUUCCAAACAAAUCAAAGCAGGGAAGAGGUGACCUCGAGCUAACCUGUCCCUUCGCGAGCUGGGCCCACAAGUCUCUGGCUCCAACACGGGGUCCGCGGCGCCCAGGCCCCCGAGCCGCACGCAGCUCACGCGGCCCCGAGGACACCCCAGCGGGCGGCGCCGCCUGGAAGCUGAGAAGACCCAGGCCCGCCAGCGGGAGCGCACCCCUCCCGGAGCCACUACCCAGGAUAUCUGAAAAGGACAGCCACCUCUGAGUAUUAUCCUGAACUGACAUCUCAUCACUAGUCCUGUGGACUCUUUGAGAGUCGUGUUAAUAGUGUUUGACAGGCAGCUGUGGUGUCCUAGAAAGUCUGGACUGGUGUUCACAGACUUCUCUAAUUUCAGCUCUCACUUAGAAGCUGUGUGAACUUUGGCACUUACUAGACCUCUAUGCAAUUGGAUUUUGCUCAUUGGUAAAAAUAGAUGCCAUUGUUAUUUACUCAACAAAAAGUUCACAAGUUAAAAAAAGACACCACCAUGUACUCACAGGGUUGUUGUGAAUAUUUAAUGCAGUAAGGUAAUAAGCAAAUAACUGCAGGCAAUAAACACUUGACUAAAUAUUUGAUGAAUCUGUAUUCUCUGAUGAUAAACAUUUUCCAUUUCUUUUCAAUAAGCAGCAAGGAAAACUAACCUUUGCAAUGUCCCAAGCAAAGUCACAAAAGUUGAGCCACAAGAAGUUUUGGUUUGAUUCCCAUGCCUAUGCUGUAUUUUCUCAUAGAUGGUAAUAAAUGCAUGUUAAUAGUGA
Vicugna pacos (alpaca) is the source of this 821-nucleotide non-coding RNA. NCBI's taxonomy places the organism in Eukaryota, Metazoa, Chordata, Mammalia, Artiodactyla, Camelidae. The record is from RefSeq and is a predicted model, not a curated record.